RNAcentral lists this long non-coding RNA (222 nucleotides) under Capsicum annuum. RNAcentral's name for it is "long non-coding RNA (CANN_LNC018854)". The record is from RNAcentral. Lineage: Eukaryota; Viridiplantae; Streptophyta; Magnoliopsida; Solanales; Solanaceae.
AUACAGUCAUCCAGCUCAUAUAACACUUAGAUCAGUUAUUUAUAAUCAGGACUAUUAAAAAUAGUCUUUCAGUUAUCAGUUACAAGUAAACUCAAAUAUUAGUAAAUUCAUAUUAUCAGUAGACUCUGUAGAUAGAACUCAGUACUCAGUCCUAUCAUGACCUCAGUUACAUUUACGUCUUCAUGCAUGCAUUUUCACGUUCAUGUAUAUAGUCAGUUUUAU